Bacillus rossius redtenbacheri is the source of this 179-nucleotide long non-coding RNA. RefSeq lists it as uncharacterized. The record is from RefSeq and is a predicted model, not a curated record. The transcript has 2 exons. Lineage: Eukaryota; Metazoa; Arthropoda; Insecta; Phasmatodea; Bacillidae.
GUAAAAUUUAAUUUAGGUAAUCUUGCCGACACUACUUUGGAGUUUGGAAUCGCUUACAAUAGUUCCGUGAGAAAUAAUAGUUAAUCCUACGAUUCGUCAUAACUGAUCAGUUUCAUUGUUGUGUACGUAAAUAAUGUGCAUACGUAUGGGUCUGCUGCCCAAUAUAAAAAUAAGAAAAA